GUCCUGUUGCUAAAAACGACAACUUUAAGUAGCGUUUGAUUCGGGUAUAAGCAAAAACUAGCUAUUACAAAAGAUAGGUACAAGUAUGGGGAUAAGAAAAAUAGCGUUUGAAUAGAUAGUAUGGAAUAAGAAAAGAAAAAUGGUGGGUAGUUAUAUAUAGAAAAUAGAAGUGUUGGUGAGGAUAGUUAUACCAGCUUAUUUCAGGUACCCAAGAACUAGUAUUCUCGGAUAAAAAAUUUGCAUUUGGGUAUAAAGGGGGGAUAAGGGGUUAUCCCUCUCCUUAUCCCCCAUCCAAACGAUGCAUUAUAAUAUAUCU
This 316-nucleotide long non-coding RNA is filed under the name Ananas comosus (pineapple). RNAcentral's name for it is "long non-coding RNA (ACOM_LNC028188)". Lineage: Eukaryota; Viridiplantae; Streptophyta; Magnoliopsida; Poales; Bromeliaceae. The record is from RNAcentral.